AGUGAACGCUGGCGGUAGGCCUAACACAUGCAAGUCGAACGGCAGCACAGUAAGAGCUUGCUCUUACGGGUGGCGAGUGGCGGACGGGUGAGGAAUACAUCGGAAUCUACUUUUUCGUGGGGGAUAACGUAGGGAAACUUACGCUAAUACCGCAUACGACCUACGGGUGAAAGCAGGGGAUCUUCGGACCUUGCGCGAUUGAAUGAGCCGAUGUCGGAUUAGCUAGUUGGCGGGUUAAAGGCCCACCAAGGCGACGAUCCGUAGCUGGUCUGAGAGGAGGAUCAGCCACACUGGAGCUGAGACACGGUCAAGACUCCUACGGGAGGCAGCAGUGGGGAAUAUUGGACAAAGGGCGCAAGCCUGAUCCAGCCAUACCGCGUGGGUGAAGAAGGCCUUCGGGUUGUAAAGCCCUUUUGUUGGGAAAGAAAAGCAGCAGGUUAAUACCCCGCUGUUCUGACGGUACCCAAAGAAUAAGCACCGGCUAACUUCGUG
RNAcentral lists this ribosomal RNA (492 nucleotides) under uncultured bacterium. RNAcentral's name for it is "partial 16S ribosomal RNA". It matches the Rfam family "Bacterial small subunit ribosomal RNA", at positions 29 to 507 of the family's 1533-position model. The record is from RNAcentral.